Molecule: long non-coding RNA, 1877 nt
Filed under: Macaca fascicularis (crab-eating macaque)
Lineage: Eukaryota; Metazoa; Chordata; Mammalia; Primates; Cercopithecidae
Description: lncRNA (ENSMFAG00000063479.1)
Source: RNAcentral
UUAGCCAGGAUGGUCUCGAUCUCCUGACCUCGUGAUCCGCCCAUCUCGGCCUCCCAAAGUGCUGGGAUUACAGGCUUGAGCCACGGUGCCCGGCCCAAAGGUCACUUUCUGAUUCAUAGUUAGGCAUCUUCUCACUGUGUCCUCAAGGGGGAGAAGGCAUGAGGGAGCUCUCUGGUGUCUCUCAUUUUAUGUUAUUUAGAUAGAAUCUUGCUCUGUGGCCCAGGCUGGAGGUCCUAUCAUCUCCACUUUACAGAUAAAGAAAAAAUACUGAGACACAGAGAAAUUAAGUAGCUUGUUUAAGGUCACACAGCUAGGAAGUGGCAGAGCCAGGAUUUGAACCCAGAUAGUUUGCCUUCAGACAUUUCAGUCCUGAUCACAUGGUAAUUAUUGAAGGUUUCUCUUAAGAAAUGAGUAUUUAUUUAUUUAGUUAGCUAGAGACAGAGGCUUGUUCUGUCACCCAGGCUGUAGUGAAGUGAAGCUAUCAUAGCUCACUGGAGCCUCAAACUCCUGGGCUCAAGUGAUCCUCCCACCUUGGCCUCCCAAAGUGCUGAGAUUACAGGUGUGAGGCAUCAUACCUGGCUAAGAAUUGAACAUUAUUUAUUUAUUUAUUUGUUUAUGUGUUUAUUUAUUUAUUUUUGAAACAGUGUCUUGCUCUGUCGUCCAGGCUGCAUGCAGUGGCACAAUCAUGUGGCACUGCAGCCUUGACUGCUGGGCUUAAGCAAGCCUCCCACCUCAGUCUCUUGAGUAGCUGGGACUACAGACAUGCACCACCAUGCCCGGAUGAUCUUUUUCUUAUUUUUCUUCAAGUUUUAGUAGAGACAGGGUCUUGCUAUGUUGUCCAGGCUGGUCUUAAACUUCUGAGCUCACACAAUCCUCCCACCUUGUCCUCCCAAAGUGCUGGGAUUACAGCAUAACUGAAUUUUUAAAUUGUACUUAAUUUUAUGAUCAAAUACUCAUUUUCCUUCAGGGUGGCCUCUUUGAUCUAUUUUAAAGAUCACAUUGUGGCCAAGCACGGUGGCUCAUGCCUGUCCCAGCACUUUGGGAGGUUGAGGUGGGCAGAUCACUUGAGGUCAGAAGUUGGAGACCAGCCUGGCCAAUGUGGUGAAACCCUGUCUCUACUAAGAACUACAAAAAAAUUAGCCAGGUGUAUUGGUACGCGCCUGUAGUCCCAGCUACCGGGGAGGCUGAGGCAGGAAAAUCGCUGGAACCCGGGAGGCAGAGGUUGCAGUGAGCCUAGAUCGUGGCACUGCACUCCAGCCUAGGCAACUGAGCGAGACUCUGUCUCAAACGAAAAAGAAACAACAAUAAUGGUUGUUCUGACUUCAUUCUCUGAAUUGUUGUGAGGACCAGUUUAAACGACGCAGAUGAAAACAUGUUAAAACUAUAAGUCAUUAGACAAUUGUACUGAUUUUAAAAUGGUGAAAGUUCUUACUGAAUGAAUGAAAGGUUGGAGGAGUUUUGUAUGAGGUAGGCCUAGAGCUCAAAGACAAAAAUGAAAUGUGAGAGAGUGUAGUGGUGAAUUUUAUGUGUCAGUGAAGAACACUGAUGAAUAAGAGAAAAAAUUUUCUAAUUGGGACUGAGUGGUUUAUUUUGCUUCUCUGUAUUGUUGGUCAAAAUUCCAAAAGAAUGAUAGUCUCUUGACACUGUUUCUGUGUUCAGAGAUGAUUGCAUAUAAUUAAUAAAAGGCCAAAAAUGUCUAUAUGCUGGCCUUUUAGAGUUUUGGUCUCUCACAAGACAUUUUCUUGGGUAAUAAUGAUAGAGCAAUCUUGCAAUGGCCUUGUCACAGUUUAUGUAGCUGACGUGUUGGGCAGAGUGCAAAUGCCUGGGAAAAGCAAAGCUACUCGUAAAAGGUACAACGGGUUUGUUCGAAAAGUUAC